Molecule: ribosomal RNA, 816 nt
Filed under: Arthrobacter sp. CAL607
Lineage: Bacteria; Bacillati; Actinomycetota; Actinomycetes; Micrococcales; Micrococcaceae
Description: bacterial SSU rRNA
Rfam family: Bacterial small subunit ribosomal RNA
Source: RNAcentral
GCGAGUUGAACGCUGGCGGCGUGCUUAACACAUGCAAGUCGAACGAUGAACCCAGCUUGUGGGGGGAUUAGUGGCGAACGGGUGAGUAACACGUGAGUAACCUGCCCUUGACUCUGGGAUAAGCCUGGGAAACCGGGUCUAAUACUGGAUAUGACCUUCUGGCGCAUGCCAUGUUGGUGGAAAGCUUUAUUGCGGUUUUGGAUGGACUCGCGGCCUAUCAGCUUGUUGGUGGGGUAAUGGCCUACCAAGGCGACGACGGGUAGCCGGCCUGAGAGGGUGGACGGCCACACUGGGACUGAGACACGGCCCAGACUCCUACGGGAGGCAGCAGUGGGGAAUAUUGCACAAUGGGCGCAAGCCUGAUGCAGCGACGCCGCGUGGGGGAUGAAGGCCUUCGGGUUGUAAACCUCUUUCAGUAGGGAAGAAGCGAAAGUGACGGUACCUGCAGAAGAAGCGCCGGCUAACUACGUGCCAGCAGCCGCGGUAAUACGUAGGGCGCAAGCGUUAUCCGGAAUUAUUGGGCGUAAAGAGCUCGUAGGCGGUUUGUCGCGUCUGCCGUGAAAGUCCGGGGCUUAACUCCGGAUCUGCGGUGGGUACGGGCAGACUAGAGUGAUGUAGGGGAGACUGGAAUUCCUGGUGUAGCGGUGAAAUGCGCAGAUAUCAGGAGGAACACCGAUGGCGAAGGCAGGUCUCUGGGCAUUAACUGACGCUGAGGAGCGAAAGCAUGGGGAGCGAACAGGAUUAGAUACCCUGGUAGUCCAUGCCGUAAACGUUGGGCACUAGGUGUGGGGGACAUUCCACGUUUUCCGCGCCGUA